Diachasma alloeum is the source of this 675-nucleotide long non-coding RNA. RefSeq lists it as uncharacterized. The record is from RefSeq and is a predicted model, not a curated record. Lineage: Eukaryota; Metazoa; Arthropoda; Insecta; Hymenoptera; Braconidae. The transcript is spliced from 4 exons.
CCGAAUGUGCAUGACACAGCGAAGCGAACCUUGGAAGUUAUUUUUUAUUCUUCAGUCUGCAUAGCUGCGAUUAUGAUAAAUGAACUCGCUUAAUCUUCAUGAUUUACUCCUCCACUGACAGUUACCGAGAUUAUUCGUCUGACGCUCAAUUCCUACGUAAACUACACUGCGCGGUGAUAACAGAAUCAACUUGUUCUCGAGCGUCAGAGAUCAGGAAGUGAUCGCUCGGGAAAUUUCGCCGUGACGAAGUUUAAGUUAUAAAAGCAUGGACCAGUGCUAUAGUUAAUUAGUUGUGUCGUAGAGAAAAAUGAAAUUCAUCAUAUUCACGAUUUUGAUGAUCUGUGUUGUCUCGGGAACAGGCAGAUCUAUCGAUGCGAGAUUGAAGCAAGUCAAGGAUGGGGUUGGAGCGAUUGUUGUGCCCUUCCAUGAGGGAUCUCCCACUGGAAAGGACUCUUCUGUUACGAAUUACAAUUUCAUCAUCAGAGCACCAGCUCCCCCUCGGCCGCGUCCAACACUUUCAUGGAGAGCACGGAGAGACCCAUUUGAUUCAAACAUCCAAUAACUGGGACGUACGUGUGCUAGCUAAAAGGAAAACCGGAUGUUGACGAAGGCUAUGCAGAGAUAACUGGAUUUGAAAUUAUUAUAUCGGUGUUUUUUCAUUGUUGAAGGAUAAAC